Molecule: long non-coding RNA, 2115 nt
Organism: Triticum aestivum (bread wheat)
Lineage: Eukaryota; Viridiplantae; Streptophyta; Magnoliopsida; Poales; Poaceae
Exons: 3
Source: RefSeq, a predicted model, not a curated record
ACCCUAAUCCCCAUUAUCUCAUCUGGCGUCGCCCCGAUCCAAUCUUGCGCCGUCUCCUUCCUUUCACCGUCUCGAUCCAAUCUGCUAGCAUCCCCCCUCCGCCGCUCCUCUCCAGCAGCCCCCACGCUCCCACUCCCGCCCCGUCCACCUCCGCCGCCCCCACCAUCGAUGCAACAACCACCGCCACCGCCACCAUCGAGACCGCGGAGGAAGCCGUUGCAGCACCGGUGGUGGAAGAGGCGCCGCCGACGCCGCAGGCAGCCGCGCUCGGUAGGAGCAGCCUCUGCACGGGACAAUUCUCCACAUGAUCUGGUGACGCAAGCCGUCGACCCACCGGAAGUACUCCGUGUCGUGCGGCUGCUCUUCUGGACGCUCUCGGCGCUGCUCGUCCAUGGCGUGAUCUCCGCUACCGCUGCCUCCAACCACGCUGACCUCUUGCUCCAGUUCUUCCACUUGGCUUACAGCUGGGCGGGUUCUGGGCUUCUGGCCGGAGCCAGCCACCGUGGCGCUCCUCUACCACGCCCGCUGCAUCCUCCUCGAGACCAUGCCGCCCUUCUCUGUUUCCCUGACGAGGCCCUGUCGCAGGCAUUUUGCAGCGCUGCUCCCAUCCAGAUGCUUUGUUGUGGCGCUCCUCCUGUCAUUCUCUCCAUUUAAAUGUUUGAGCGAGAAAUCAAUGGCGCUUUCUGGCUGUGCGGGAGUGGACAUGUUCAGCGUGUGUGGGAUUUCUCAAGUUCAAAGCUGACAUCGUCGAUGAGAAGACUGAACCCAAGGCUGAAGGUGGAGGAGGGCGUGGACGGGAUUUGGUCCCAGCAUUGCACUCAGAGAUGCUCUAAUAUUUAAGGAGUCCUUGUUUCUUAUAUUAUAUUUUAUCACAUUGCCAUCGAAUUAAAUUGCUUGAUUGAGUAAAUAGCUUCAUAAUGUACUAGUAAAUCUUUGCUACCAUUAUUGGCAAGUUUUUGUAAGUAAUCUUUCUAGUCAAGCACUUGUAUCAUCUAUAGUAAUCUUAAGUUUUGCCAUUUUUCUCUUCUGAAUUUUCUCAUCUUGUUUUCAUAGGCUUGCUGGCUGCGUCUUCUAUGCUACUUAGUACACUCGUUAGACCCCAAAGCGAUGAAAUCUUCAUUUUUUGUUAAUACAAUAUUACGUGAAAUGCUUAUAAAUAGUGCUGCUUAUUUAAAGUACUACGUUACAGAAUCUGUUUUGUUAAUUUUUACCAUCAAUGCAAAGACAAACAUGUAUUUGCGUGCUAAUUUUGCUACUUUAUUACAUUCAUGUUUGUUUUAGGAAAGUACAUAUGCGCAUGAAAAAUUGUUGCAUUGUCUAAGGUCCAAUUCCAAACUAGUUGAAGUGGAAUUCAUUUAGUUAGUUUUAUGACACAUGCUAGUAAGUACUCCCUCCGUUCCUAAAUAUAAGUCUUUUUAGACAUUUCAAAUAAACUACAACAUACGGAUGUAUGUAGACAUAUUUUAGAGUGUAGAUUCAUUCAUUUUGGUCCGUAUGUAGUCACCUGUUGAAAUCUCUAGAAAGACUUAUAUUUGGGAACGGAGGGAGUAUUUUGCAAUUCAUUUAGUUCCACUCUUUUUCAUCUUGCACGUUCAGGUACUACAAUCAUGCCACUAGUUUGGGAGAGUGAGAGGGAAAGGAGGGCAUUCCUCGCGGAACAUAAACGCAUGGGUGAUGUGUAUGCUAAGCUAAGGGGUGCAUUGAUUACAUGCAUCGGGAGGAGUUAGCCGCAAGACUUGAAGCACAAGAGAGAGCAUUUGAAGAGAUACAAAAGAAGCAGCAAGAAGAAUUGGAAGCUCUAAAGAAGAUCCAACAAGAGAAGAAUGAAGCCUAGGCAAAGAAGCAAAAGGAGAUGGAUAAUCUGCUUGAUUUUCUCUUGAGGGCUCAAGCAACUUAGCAAGCAACUCUGUAGUCCCAGUCCAAACCAGAUGGUUCAUGAAAGCCAUCCUUACAUUGCAAUCAUCAGGACAACAUAUGUGGUCUUUAGUUAAUAUUAGUUUUCAUCUUGUCUAUUGUCUAUGUCAAACUUGAGUCAGUUUUUUACCGUCAUUUUUGUUUACAGAAUGAUUUGGCUGAUACGAUCUCAUAUAUAAUAUGAUUUGUCUUACAUAUCAA